AAGGAGCUGAGGGGGGUGAGGAAGGGCCUGAGAAGGAUUUGAGGAAGAGGAAGGUGAGGAAGAAGCUGAGAGGGAUUUGAGGAGGAAGAGGAGGGUGAGGAAGGGCCUGAGGAGGAAGAGGAGGGUGAGGAAGGGCCUGAGGAGGAAGAGGAGGGUGAGGAAGGGCCUGAGGAGGAUUUGAGGAGGAGGAGGGUGAGGAAGGGCCUGAGGAGGAAGAGGAGGGUGAGGAAGGAGCUGAGAGGGAUUUGAAGAGGAAGAGGAGGGUGAGGAAGGAGCUGAGGAGGAGGAGGAGGGUGAGGAAGGCCACAGGGGGAUUUGAGGAGGGUGAGGAAGGCCACAGGGGGAUUUGAGGAGGAGGAGGAGGGUGAGGAAGGCCACAGGGGGAUUUGAGGAGGGUGAGGAAGGGCCUGAGGGGGAUUUGGGGGGUCCUGAGGAGGAGGAAGAGGGGAGGAAGGCAGCGCCAGCCUCGGGGGAGGG
Molecule: long non-coding RNA, 477 nt
Filed under: Lonchura striata (white-rumped munia)
Lineage: Eukaryota; Metazoa; Chordata; Aves; Passeriformes; Estrildidae
Description: domestica (Bengalese finch) lncRNA (ENSLSDG00000003755.1)
Source: RNAcentral